Daphnia pulex (common water flea) is the source of this 951-nucleotide long non-coding RNA. RefSeq lists it as uncharacterized. The transcript is spliced from 8 exons. The record is from RefSeq and is a predicted model, not a curated record. Lineage: Eukaryota; Metazoa; Arthropoda; Branchiopoda; Diplostraca; Daphniidae.
AGAAUCACCUCAUUCGUUUUCGAGACGCUGUACGGUAUGCGUAUUACAGGUUACAGCGUACUUCAACAUUUUCCAUCGUGAAGAUAGAAAGUCCCACUCCCAGUGUGUCGUGAGUGUGUCAGAGUGUCCUGAAAGUGUCCUGAAAGUGCUGUGCGUAUGCUGAAAUGUCAUCUCGUACUAGAUAUUUUAAAGGAGAAUGAUAGCCUCGGAAUAAGCUGCUGUUGUCUCUGGUGAAUCUACAGUUACUUGCUUACCUUCUUCACCAUUUUUCGACAUGUGCUGGUUUGUCUUCUUCACAACACUCGCUCAUCAUCUAGCUUCAAUCACAGCUUCAAUGCUGCUAAUGUUGCUUCACAACUUAUCUUACUCCACUGACAAGUUAGACCUCUUCAGUCCACUGUAAAUCACCAUGGGAAAACGGCCAGGUACGAAAGCGGUGAAUUAACAGGUACGAAAGCCUACCAUGUAAACUUGUCAAUUCCAUGUGUUCAUCUGGGCAUGUGAUCUUGUAGAAUGCUGUACAUUUUCAAAAAAUGUCUCGUGCUGCAUGUUGGACGUUUCGUCACAUGCAGAAAUACUUCUGAACACGUUCACAUUUACACAGAUGAUGUUGCCAUCCAACUGACAAGUCAAACUAUGCUGGUGAAAGAUAAUCGUACAUCAGAUGGUUUUGUUGCAGCCAGCUGUUGAGAGGGUGGUUUGAGGUGACCUGCAGAUGCUGCAAGUAUUCACUCCCUGUGUCAUCCGGUGUCAUCUGACCAUGUGUCCUGAAAGUGCUGUCCGUAUGCUGAAAUGUCGUCUCGUACAACUGGAAACUUUAUUGGAAUGAUAAUGGAAUAAUUCAUUACAAUUUCAUUUUGUUCAACUACACUGAGAUGAGAAAAAUUACUUAAGAACACAAAGGGAUUAAAUUUUGUAAAACUUAAAAUACAAAUGACUUGUUAUUUCUGA